UACGGGAGGCAGCAGUGGGGAAUAUUGCACAAUGGGCGCAAGCCUGAUGCAGCCAUGCCGCGUGUAUGAAAAAGGCCUCGGGUUGUAAAGUACUUUCAGUCGUGAGGAAGGUGUUAAGGUUAAUAACCUUAGCAAUUGACGUUAGCGACAGAAGAAGCACCGGCUAACUCCGUGCCAGCAGCCGCGGUAAUACGGAGGGUGCGAGCGUUAAUCGGAAUUACUGGGCGUAAAGGGCACGCAGGCGGUUAAUUAAGUUGGAUGUGAAAUCCCCGGGCUUAACCUGGGAAUGGCAUUCAAGACUGGUUAGCUAGAGUCUUGUAGAGGGGGUAGAAUUCCAUGUGUAGCGGUGAAAUGCGUAGAGAUGUGGAGGAAUACCGGUGGCGAAGGCGGCCCCUGGACAAAGACUGACGCUCAUGUGCGAAAGCGUGGGGAGCAAACAGGGAUUAGAUACCCG
This 454-nucleotide ribosomal RNA is filed under the name uncultured bacterium. Its description in RNAcentral is "bacterial SSU rRNA". It matches the Rfam family "Bacterial small subunit ribosomal RNA", at positions 340 to 788 of the family's 1533-position model. The record is from RNAcentral.